Dermacentor silvarum is the source of this 725-nucleotide long non-coding RNA. RefSeq lists it as uncharacterized. The record is from RefSeq and is a predicted model, not a curated record. The transcript has 3 exons. Lineage: Eukaryota; Metazoa; Arthropoda; Arachnida; Ixodida; Ixodidae.
GAGGUCGCGGGACGCAAGCGGAAGGGACGCGUACGGUUUCGCAGGCUCUUGGAAUGCGCAAUUCACGUUAUAUAUAGUCACAAAAGAAGCAAGAAAAACGAGUUACAACAGUCACAGGAUAUGGUUUAACGCUACAAAACAACACGUAAGCUAUAAAAUACGUGGUAGGACGGUGCUGCGAAUUAAUUUUGACCAACUAGGGUUCAUUGAAGUGCACUUUGAUCCUGUUUCCCUCUAGCUCAUAAGCAACAACAAAUAAACAUGAUCUAAGUGUAUACCUGACUGUUUCAUCCUCCCCGUCAGUAUGCGGCCGCGGCGAUCUACGAACUAUGGACAGUUUAUAGGAAUUGGUUUACGGUAAAGCUGUUAAUGGGAGUUGCGCAGCCAUUUUUAUGCAGCGGUGAAGACGGUAUCAAAUGUCAAUCAAAGAGCAGCCAGUAACGCAACCUGCGUCACUGUGGCGAAUUCUCGCUUUGAAAAGCAGUUAUCAAUGAUCAUAAAAUAAAACAAAAGAUUGGGAGACGCUUAAGCUUCGCCUUUAACCUCUUCUAUAGCCUGUUGAUGCGAUUUCGCGACAUGCCGAAUAUCAGCUGAUAAGCACAAACGAGACGCUUAACGAGAGAAAUCCUGAUUUUGACGUCAGGCGUUGUUAACCAGAAAAAAAAAAUGCUUCAACGUUUCGCCAUCUCUGACUCCAAAACAACAACAACAACAACAACAACAAC